This 789-nucleotide long non-coding RNA is filed under the name Homo sapiens (human). RNAcentral's name for it is "HSALNT0236156". Lineage: Eukaryota; Metazoa; Chordata; Mammalia; Primates; Hominidae. The record is from RNAcentral.
UUAUAAAUAACCUGCCGGCGCCUGGGUCAGCUGCCAGGCCAAGGCCCAGGGAGGCUCCUGGGGCGACAGCUGCCACCCAGCCCCCUGGCAUCCCUGCCCCCUUCCCAUGGCCCUAACACGUGGGGACCCGACUCUGGGAGAAGCAGCUGCAGGGAAAGCCUGAUAAAUCGAGGAAACCAGAAGGCCCCUGCCCACCUCUCAUCACCUCUAGCGCCAGUGGGGGAGUGGAGAGCCCCCUCUCUACACCCUACUCCUACACCCAAGGACCCAAAGAGGACCCCCACAGCAAGCAGGCUCACAGACCCCCAGCUACCGGGAAAACCGCGUGCACGCCUGCGAAUUCCAGGACCCUGGAGAAGGACGCGGCGGCUGGCACCCGCCCUGCCCCUCCCCCGCCUUCCCAAAAGUCCGCGGAGAACUUACACGACCAGGGAGGGCAUUUCGAUUCCACCCUGCCCCAGUCAUGACUGCGAAUUUUAGGGGCUGAAGUCAUCUUGGCUCUCCUGCCAGCCUCCUCCUCAGCCCCCUGCUAACACAGCACUCCAAUGCUCACUAAAGCAGCCGCCACCGAGUGACAUCACCCCUAAGAAGAUGCCCGUCACCCUGACAGUGCUGCUCCAGGGCAAAUUCCACUGAAACAACCCAAGAGUUACAAGGAAGGGGAAAAGCCUGUGGCAGCAUUGGAAAACAGAGAACAAUAUCAUCAAGUGACCGAUAGCACAGACGGAUUUCUGAACGAAAUGAAGAUGAUGGAAUCAGAUCAACAGGGAAGCAGAUGGUGCCCAACAG